ACUGUCCCUAGAGGUGUUGCAGGUAUGGUUGCUGUGUCACUUAUCCAUCAGGAGGUGGCAGAGAGGAGAAAGGGUAUGUCUAUAUUCAGUGUUCUGACCUAUGGACAGUUGAAUGAUUAGUAGCUUAACAUU
Mastomys coucha (southern multimammate mouse) is the source of this 132-nucleotide small nucleolar RNA. RefSeq annotates it as small nucleolar RNA SNORA17. The record is from RefSeq and is a predicted model, not a curated record. NCBI's taxonomy places the organism in Eukaryota, Metazoa, Chordata, Mammalia, Rodentia, Muridae. The transcript has a single exon.